UGAGUACGAGCUGCUACGGCAGCGGAGUGGGUGAUGUCAAGCUUCCAAGAAAAGCCCUAUACCCGUUAAGGCAUGACGGCCUGUACCCGAAACCGACACAGGUGGGGUGGUAGAGAAUACCGAGGGGCGCGAGGUAACUCUCUCUAAGGAACUCGGCAAAAUGGCCCCGUAACUUCGGGAGAAGGGGUGCCACCGCAAGGUGGUCGCAGUGAAGAGGCCCAGGCGACUGUUUACCAAAAACACAGGUCUCCGCUAAGUCGCAAGACGAUGUAUGGGGACUGACGCCUGCCCAGUGCCGGAAGGUUAAGGAAGCUGGUCAGCGAAAGCGAAGCUAGCGACUGAAGCCCCGGUGAACGGCGGCCGUAACUAUAACGGUCCUAAGGUAGCGAAAUUCCUUGUCGGGUAAGUUCCGACCCGCACGAAUGGCGUAACGAUCUGGGCGCUGUCUCGGAGAGAGGCUCGGCGAAAUAGAAUUGUCUGUGGAGAUGCGGACUACGUGCACCCGGACAGAAAGACCCUAUGAAGCUUUACUGUAGCUUGGUAUUGUGCCCGGGCUCUGAAUGCGCAGGAUAGGUGGGAGGCUUUGAUCCAUUGCUUGUGGGUGAUGGUGAGCCACUGGUGAGAUACCACUCUUUCAGAGCUAGGGUUCUAACGGUCACCCGUUAUCCGGGGACCGGACAGUAUCAGGUGGGCAGUUUGACUGGGACGGUCGCCUCCUAAAAGGUAACGGAGGCGCGCAAAGGUUCCCUCAGGCUGGUUGGAAAUCAGCCGACGAGUGUAAAGGCAGAAGGGAGCUUGACUGUGAGACCUACAAGUCGAACAGGGACGAAAGUCGGCCUUAGUGAUCCGACGGUUCUGAGUGGAAGGGCCGUCGCUCAACGGAUAAAAGUUACUCUAGGAUAACAGGCUGAUCUCCCCCAAGAGUUCACAUCGACGGGGAGGUUUGGCACCUCGAUGUCGGCUCAUCGCAACCUGGGGCUGAAGUCGGUCCCAAGGGUUGGGCUGUUCGCCCAUUAAAGCGGUACGCGAGCUGGGUUCAGAACGUCGUGAGACAGUUCGGUCCAUAUCCGGUGCACGCGCAGGAACAUUGAGAGGAUUUCUCCCUAGUACGAGAGGACCGGGAGGAACGCACCUCUGGUGUACCAGUUAUCGUGCCAACGGUAAACGCUGGGUAGCCAUGUGCGGAGUGGAUAACCGCUGAAAGCAUCUAAGUGGGAAGCCCACCUCAAGAUGAGUGUUC
Molecule: ribosomal RNA, 1240 nt
Filed under: metagenome
Description: bacterial LSU rRNA
Rfam family: Bacterial large subunit ribosomal RNA
Source: RNAcentral